Long non-coding RNA from Alexandromys fortis (reed vole), 1746 nucleotides. RefSeq lists it as uncharacterized. The transcript is spliced from 3 exons. The record is from RefSeq and is a predicted model, not a curated record. NCBI's taxonomy places the organism in Eukaryota, Metazoa, Chordata, Mammalia, Rodentia, Cricetidae.
UUUGCCAGUUUUCCCACUCACUCUUCGGCCCCCUGUGGUGACUUAUUAGGCUUGUGGCUUUCCCUAGGUCAUGCACCAUGGGAGACCACUUUCUGUCUGUCCAAGUUUUUAACCCUCGGUAAACCGACAUGGCUCCGUAAACCAGCAGGGCAGUUUGCCUCCAGCUGCUUUUCUUUGCCCUUAACGAGCCGUGAUGUAGGUCGCUGUGUGUUUGGAAAUAUAGUCAGAUUCCUUGAGCUCACACGGAGCGGAGCGCUUUAUCCCUGAAGCUGUGACGCCACGGGGAGAACGGAGGUCUUAGGGAGGGAGCUGUGAAUCCGCAGGACUACACCGCUCCGUGGGCGGAUUCAGACUGUGGAGGCUACCUCCCCAGAGUCAGCGGGAAGAGCAACGCGGGAGUCCGGCCAGUCUGAGAGGCUAGCACAGCACACAGACGCGGACACAGCAGCCGUGAUCCCGGAAAGCAGGGGAGAGCCAUACCCAGGAGCUGCUCUAGAAACUGCAGGUCAGGCCAGAUUUCUGUGCUUCCCUCAGGACUGAAGAGAGCAGUCAGCGCUACGAUGACCAGCUCUUGAGCAAUACACACGCACAGCAGCGAAAGCACUGGGAAAAAAUGCCACGUCUACUAACGGGGAAACCUGAGUCCCCAGGCCAACGGCCUGAGAACGCCACACACAAGCAGUUACACAACAGCACACACGUGUGCUCCAGAGUGUCAGGCCACAAGCCCUUCAACUGUGUGUGGAUUCAUUGCUCUCGGGACUUAAGAGACACCCCUUCAUCGAUUCAAAUGAAGAUUUACUGAAUAAAUAAAAAAUAAACUUAAUAGUGGCGUGGUAAAAUUGGAGGAUGAGAAAGCAUUGUGGUGACUUCUGUAAGGACCUGGUUGUUUGGGAACCUGACCCAGCCGCCCUUACUGGGCAUUUAGGGCCUUUCUUUCCACACCAGGCUUCCCCUCAGCCCACCACCUCGGAUUCCGUAUAUACACGCCUUUCCUUUCCUGGCACGGUUCCUUCCUCUCUCACUCUGUGUAUUAAUUCAGCAAUCUAGGACCCCACAUUGUGCUGCUCUCUUGUAGAGUAUCUGAGCACACUUACUAAAUACGGUGCUAAUGUUUAUUAUCAAGCAAUUAUAAAGAUAAUAAAAUAUACUUUAAACACAUCCGGCAGACAGAAGCUUUAAUUUUUAUUUCUAUAAACACUGAUGGAUCUGCACUUUGAAAGCCACUGCUUCCCAGCACAGACCGGAUCUCCCAGAACACGGGCAGUCCUGGGAAAGCAGGGUAGCACACACAGCAGACUCUCCAGAGGCCAGAGGCUUCUUCUGCCUUCAUCUCCAGUUCCCUGAAGGCCAAACUCAAACUCCACCCCAGGCCUUAUUUUAAUCUGCUCCUGAAGGAGGCACCAAGUCUGUGAAGUUAAACCAGAAGCCGGAGGGGGAGAAGGUGGGGCAACAGGGAACACCAAGGCUGGGAUUAUGGGGAGAGACCCAAGUUAAAAAAAGAAUUAAUGCCAAGGAAAAUACACAAACAAGGAAAUACCAUCUGCCUUACAAUAAAAACAUUAAAAUAGUCUUAGUUGUAUACUGAAAAUUCAUAUUCUUAAAAUAUAUAGGAAAUAUGCCGGGCGGUGGUAGAGCAUGCCUUUCAUCCCAGCACUCGGGAGGCAGAGGCAGGCGGAUCUCUGUGAGUUGGAGGCCAGCCUGGUCUACAGAGCGAGUUCCAGGACAGGAAUCAAAAGCUACGGA